This 1235-nucleotide ribosomal RNA is filed under the name metagenome. RNAcentral describes it as "bacterial LSU rRNA". It matches the Rfam family "Bacterial large subunit ribosomal RNA", at positions 1564 to 2808 of the family's 2925-position model. The record is from RNAcentral.
UGAAUACGAGACGCUACGGCGUCGAAGUAGUGUAUGUCAUACUUCCAAGAAAAGCUCGCACUGUCAUAGGUAAAAAAUGCCUGUACCAUAACCGACACAGGUGGGUAGGUAGAGUAUACUAAGGGGCGCGAGAUAACUCUCUCUAAGGAACUCGGCAAAAUGACUCCGUAACUUCGGGAGAAGGAGUGCCUUAUUUGUAAGGUUGCAAUAACAAGAUCCAAGCAACUGUUUACCAAAAACACAGGUCUCCGCUAAGUCGUAAGACGAUGUAUGGGGGCUGACGCCUGCCCAGUGCCAGAAGGUUAAAGAAGUUGGUUAGCAUUAGCGAAGCUGAUAACUGAAGCCCUGGUGAACGGCGGCCGUAACUAUAACGGUCCUAAGGUAGCGAAAUUCCUUGUCGGGUAAGUUCCGACCCGCACGAAAGGCGUAAUGAUUUGGAUACUGUCUCGGAGAGAGGCUCGGUGAAAUAGACUUGUCUGUGAAGAUGCGGACUACCUGCACCUGGACAGAAAGACCCUAUGAAGCUUUACUGUAACUUGAAAUUGAAAUUGGACUUUAGUCGCGCAGCAUAGGUGGGAGGCGUUGAGCAUGUUCUUGCGGGAACAUAGGAGCCAUCAGUGAGAUACCACUCUUCUAAUGUUAGAUUUCUAACCUUGUACCAUUAUCUGGUCAAGGAACAGUUUCAGGCGGGCAGUUUGACUGGGGCGGUCGCCUCCCAAAUGGUAACGGAGGCGUACAAAGGUUUCCUCUGAACGGAUAGAAAUCGUAUCUAGAGUAUAAAGGCAUAAGGAAGCUUGACUGUGAGACCUACAAGUCGAGCAGGGACGAAAGUCGGUCUUAGUGAUCUGACGGUACUGAGUGGAAAGGCCGUCACUCAACGGAUAAAAGUUACUCUAAGGAUAACAGGCUGAUCUCCCCCAAGAGUUCACAUCGACGGGGAGGUUUGGCACCUCGAUGUCGGCUCAUCGCAUCCUGGGGCGGUAGUACGUCCCAAGGGUUGGGCUGUUCGCCCAUGAAAGCGGUACGCGAGCUGGGUUCAGAACGUCGUGAGACAGUUCGGUCCAUAUCCGGUGUAGGCGUUAGAAUAUUGAGAGGAGCCUUCUUUAGUACGAGAGGACCGAGAAGGACAUACCUCUGGUGUACCAGUUAUCGUGCCAACGGUAAACGCUGGGUAGCUAUGUAUGGAGUGGAUAACCGCUGAAAGCAUCUAAGUGGGAAGCCCACCUCAAGAUGAG